GACAGAGGUGCCAAGCGUUAGGCGGAAUCACUGGGCUUAAAGCGUGUGUAGGCGGGUCGUUAAGUACCUUGUGAAAUCCCCCGGCUCAACCGGGGAACGGCUGGGUAUACUGGCGAUCUCGAGCCACCUAGGGGCAGUCGGAACAAGUGGUGGAGCGGUGAAAUGCGUAGAGAUGUGGAGGAACACCAGUGGCGAAGGCGACUCUUUGGCCUGUAACUGACGCUGAGGCGCGAAAGCGUGGGGAGCGAACAGG
Molecule: ribosomal RNA, 253 nt
Filed under: uncultured bacterium
Lineage: Bacteria
Description: partial 16S ribosomal RNA
Rfam family: Bacterial small subunit ribosomal RNA
Source: RNAcentral